RNAcentral lists this ribosomal RNA (432 nucleotides) under uncultured bacterium. RNAcentral's name for it is "bacterial SSU rRNA". It matches the Rfam family "Bacterial small subunit ribosomal RNA", at positions 354 to 796 of the family's 1533-position model. The record is from RNAcentral.
GUGGGGAAUUUUGCGCAAUGGGCGAAAGCCUGACGCAGCGACGCCGCGUGGGGGAAGAAGGCCUUCGGGUUGUAAACUCCUUUAAUACGGGAAGAAGCCGAAAGGUGACGGUACCGUAAGAAUAAGCCACGGCUAACUCUGUGCCAGCAGCCGCGGUAAGACAGAGGUGGCAAGCGUUGUUCGGAUUUACUGGGCUUAAAGGGCGUGUAGGCGUCCUGGUAAGUCAGAUGUGGAAGCCUUGGGCUCAACCCAAGAAUUGCAUUUGAAACUAUCAGGAUUGAGUCGUGCAAGGGAGGGCGGAAUUCCUGGUGUAGCGGUGAAAUGCGUAGAUAUCAGGAGGAAGGCCGGUGGCGAAGGUGGCCCUCUGGGCAAUGACUGACGCUGAGGCGCGAAAGCGUGGGUAGCAAACAGGAUUAGAUACCCGAGUAGUCC